Pseudophryne corroboree (corroboree frog) is the source of this 1117-nucleotide long non-coding RNA. RefSeq lists it as uncharacterized. NCBI's taxonomy places the organism in Eukaryota, Metazoa, Chordata, Amphibia, Anura, Myobatrachidae. The transcript is spliced from 2 exons. The record is from RefSeq and is a predicted model, not a curated record.
GCCAGUGCGUACCUCCACUUCUUAAGCCACUGCUGAGCAAGAGAGCGAGCUGUAAACACAGCAGCGGUUGGGGAGACAGGAGAAAGCACCAAAGCAGGGUUAUAAGGCCAGUCACCAGAGGCCGUAGAGGGGUAUUGGAGAUGGAGCUCCCACUGAGAUGCAGCGCAAUCUCUCACCGCACAGAGCUGUAAUAGUGGAGAGAGACUGCUGCAUGUAGCGUUGACCCGUUGCCAAGGGAGCCCCAAUCACCCUUCCACAAGGCAGGUGAAAGGAUGCUGGCUGGUGAGAGGUGGUCCAGGGGAGUGUAGGCGGGGCCGGCGGUGAUUGAAGCCUAGAAGCCUCCCAGAGACAGUGAAAGUGGCUGGUUGUAUUACACAGUCUGUAGUAAAGACAGGGCGGUCGCCAGAAAGCAUCCAAUCAGAGAGUCGGGGGAGUGGCCAGCAGAAACCUGAGUCAGAAGGAAGGAUGAGACAGCAUAGGAAGGGCCAAUGGAUCAAUAGCACAAGAAUGAAACAGAUUAUAUCUCUAUAAUGUUCACAUUCCCAAACAUGUUAAUGCUAGAAAUUAUUUUGUGGUGUGAAAGAGCUUGGUAAAGUCCCAAAGGGUACUAAUAGCAUUUGAUACAAUGUAUUGAUGUUCCCUGGCUUGUCUCUUGAGGCCAGCUGUCUAUUUCCAAAAUAUCGCAAACCAUUAAGAAGUGUGAAGAAAGGUCAAGAUUACAUUGUCAGAAUUUUUCUUUCCUGGUUCAGAAAGGUGAUGAUUAGGGUUAAGAUAGAGUAUAUUGCCAUUUAACAGACAAAGAGCAUUCUGUGAAUGCUUUGUGAUUAAAUGGAAAGGUUUUUAUUUCAAUUGCUUUUCCUUUGGCUGUGUUAUAAGAGUAUGAGAAAAUCAGGACUUGUUAAAAUCAGCUGGUUGCAUUUCUUUUUGGUAGCUUGAGUUGCUGUAACUUGAAGAAAAAUGCAGAUACAUAUUUCCAAAUCCCUAUAAAAUAUAUCUUGGACAACAAUAUAUAUUGUUCAUUUCCUUUAUCACCUAUGCUUUGCAAGCAAAAAAAUAACAAAAAAGCAGACAAUGUACAAAAUAAAAAUUCAAUAAAUAGAACUAUGAUUAAAAUGUU